This is a non-coding RNA of Cajanus cajan (pigeon pea), 737 nucleotides long. The record is from RefSeq and is a predicted model, not a curated record. NCBI's taxonomy places the organism in Eukaryota, Viridiplantae, Streptophyta, Magnoliopsida, Fabales, Fabaceae.
UGGCCUUGCCACCGUCUCUUUCAAACCUACACGAUGUAUUUCAUGUAUCCCAGCUGAGGAAGUAUGUUCAUGACCCUGGUCAUGUUGUGGAGCUGGAUGAUGUGCGGGUGAAGGAGAAUCUAACGUUUGAGAAGUGGCCGGUAGCUGUGGUGGAUCACAAGCUGAAAGAGUUGAGGGGCAAGUCCAUUGCUCCGGUGAAGGUGUUGUGGGAUGCAGCUACUGGUGAGGCUACUUGGGAGGUUGAGCAGUAGUGCAGGGAGCAGUAUCUUUUUCUUUUCUCAAGUAAGUCUGUUUGCGAGGACAAAAAUUCCUGUUGUUGGGGAGGUUGUGAGACCUGUCCCUCUCUUUUCUCUCUCAACUAUCACUCUUUCACUCUUACGCUCUUGGUCCCUUUUCUCUUCUGAUUUCUCAAAUCUUUCCUUGUGGUGACCUUGGGUUAAAGGUGUUGAUCAAGUUUAGGCAGAGCUAGUUGAGCCGUGCAGAGCUUUCUUUUUCUCAAGCUUCUUCUCCUUCUCCAUUGUCUUCUUCCCGGAGCUCGGAUUUCUUCACCGAGAGCAGGGUUAGGUUGGUGGUCUUGAGGCAAGUCUGUAGCUGGCAGAUGGAGUUAUUCUUUUGUUGUGUUUAACUACUUGGAGUAGCAUUGCUGGAUGUAUUUUAUAUACUCUGAUUUUUUUAAGCCCCAGAUUUAACCUUGUGUAUAUAUUUUAGCCGCUUAUAUAUAUAUGCAUGUUCUUGUC